UACUCAGAAGGGGCCAGGUUG
Molecule: microRNA, 21 nt
Filed under: Pteropus alecto (black flying fox)
Lineage: Eukaryota; Metazoa; Chordata; Mammalia; Chiroptera; Pteropodidae
Description: pal-miR-8908g-5p
Source: miRBase by way of RNAcentral